RNA transcript from Solanum pennellii, 1239 nucleotides. It is a transcript of the gene named vesicle-associated protein 4-2-like, with no coding region annotated. The transcript is spliced from 7 exons. Lineage: Eukaryota; Viridiplantae; Streptophyta; Magnoliopsida; Solanales; Solanaceae. The record is from RefSeq and is a predicted model, not a curated record.
GAGCCAAAGGAAGAGGAGCAAUAACUGUGUCACACUCCCCAUACACAUUUAUGACAACAACCCAUCAUUCCCACGCUAUGUAACUCGCAUCCUAUGCCUCCCCCCACUCCCUAAAUUGCUCCUACUAGUACUACUACUACCAGAAACCAAAAGGUGAAAGCACAACAAUGGCACUUGCUAAUGAAAAAUCUCUAUCUGAUGGAAAAAUUUGGGGUAUUUGUAAACUACCAUUUUGGCAUUCAACUAGUAGCUCUCUGGCUGCUUCUUCUGCUUCUAUUGCUUCUUCUUCUUCAUCAUCUUUUAGGCAACAACAUAAUGGCAUUUCUGUGGAUAAUCACUCUAAUAUUCAUGCUCCUCUUAAGGUUUCUUCUGUAGCCAAAUCACUUCUUCCAACUCGUCGCAAGCUCAGCCUUGAUCCACAAAACAAGCUUUACUUUCCAUAUGAGCCUGGAAAACAAGUCAAGAGUGCUAUUAGAAUCAAGAACAUUAGCAAGAAUCCUGUGGCCUUCAAGUUUCAAACAACUGGGCCAAAAAGUUGUUACAUGCGGCCGCCAGGAGGUAUUCUUGCCCCUGAUGAAAGCCUAAUUGCAACUGUUUUCAAAUUCGUUGAGCCACCUGAUAAUAACGACAAACAAAUUGGCAAGAAGAGCAGGGUAAAGUUCAAAGUUAUGAGCUUAAAAGUAAAAGACGAUGUGGAUUAUGUGCCGGAGCUGUUUGACGAAAGGAGGGAUGAAGUGGCAGUUGAACAAGUAUUAGGUGUUGUUUUCCUUGAUGCUGAACGCCCUUGCCCUGUAAGCACUCGAGAAACUUAACCGCCAGCUAGCUGAAGCUGAGGCUGAAGUCGAGGCACGCAAAAGGCCUCCAGAAGAUACAGGUCCAAAGAUUGUCGGGGAAGGUCUUGUUAUAGACGAAUGGAAAGAAAGAAGGGAAAGGUACCUUGCAAGGCAACAGGUUGAUGGAGUUGAUUUAGUAUAAUAGAAGCUCUCCUUUCUGUGGAUGGUUGAGAAGAAAUUCUAUGAUAAGCUAUUGAAUUUUCAAUACUAUUGCCUGAAGAGCAACAGAUAUACUUAGGCUAUUUUUCAUCUCAAAAAGUGAAAAUUAAUUUUUUUUUUCAUGUAAUUUUUCAAUGCUCUCUAUUCCUGGAUCCUUUUCUUUCAACUCUUGUUUGUAUAUAAGUGAAAAUUGUGAAGUCCCUUCCUUAAUUGAUGAACAAUCACAUACAUUAUGUUGCUUUCUUGA